This 460-nucleotide ribosomal RNA is filed under the name uncultured bacterium. RNAcentral's name for it is "partial 16S ribosomal RNA". It matches the Rfam family "Bacterial small subunit ribosomal RNA", at positions 338 to 795 of the family's 1533-position model. The record is from RNAcentral.
CCUACGGGGUGCAGCAGUGAGGAAUAUUGGUCAAUGGACGGAAGUCUGAACCAGCCAUGCCGCGUGCAGGAAGACGGCUCUAUGAGUUGUAAACUGCUUUUGUACAAGGGUAAACCUGAAUACGUGUAUUCAGCUGAAAGUACUGUACGAAUAAGGAUCGGCUAACUCCGUGCGAGCAGCCGCGGUAAUACGGAGGAUCCAAGCGUUAUCCGGAUUUAUUGGGUUUAAAGGGUGCGUAGGCGGAUUGAUAAGUUAGAGGUGAAAUGUCCGAGCUUAACUCGGGAACUGCCUCUAAUACUGUUGAGCUAGAGAGUAGAUGCGGUAGGCGGAAUGUAUGGUGUAGCGGUGAAAUGCUUAGAGAUCAUACAGAACACCGAUUGCGAAGGCAGCUUACCAAUCUAUAUCUGACGUUGAGGCACGAAAGCGUGGGGAGCAAACAGGAUUAGAUACCCGUGUAGUC